RNAcentral lists this long non-coding RNA (977 nucleotides) under Physcomitrium patens. Its description in RNAcentral is "long non-coding RNA (PPAT_LNC005973)". Lineage: Eukaryota; Viridiplantae; Streptophyta; Bryopsida; Funariales; Funariaceae. The record is from RNAcentral.
ACACAAGAGGGAGUAUAUUAAUGAGAUAACUACAUUAAUUUAUACAAAGAAUAGGGGAGAAAAUAAAUAGUUUCUCUCCACUACAUUCCAAACAAUGUAGCAACAAUAUCUAUUGUAAACUACCAUAAAUACUAUAGAGAGCGCCGGCUACAUUUAAUGCUCUCAACAGAUACCAUAUAUAACAAUCUUCUUGGCUUAUUCCUACCCUCAGGGAAGUCCCUAUGAUACCCGGCAGGAUUAGUAUUACCGCCCAGCGGCCCCGGGACCAAUCGAGCUCAUCUCAAGUCUCCUCCUAGCACGAAGGAGAAGACUAGACCCGUCUCACAACGAAGUCAUCCCUGGGUCAGCCAAGACUUCCGUCCCAGUACCAUAUCCUCCGAAACUCAGCCCCUGCGGUGUCUUUGUAUCGGGAAUUGAGGCUCCACCCUUCCACACCUAUAGUCCCUCACCUCUGAGCGCCCCAUGGGCUUCGGCGCGGCCAAGACUCAUAGUUUGGAUUCUUUCCACCAAGUAGGAUGAGGGUCGAUUAGAACCCUCACAAUAGCCCUCACGCUUAAAACAGUUGUUCAAAGCCACAUGGAAAUCUUUCAUACACAACUUCGCUGCCCAAUUGAUUUUGUGAUUGCCGCGAAAUUCCCACGGUCAAGUCUUGUGCUUCCUUGUGCUUGCUGCCGUCCAACGCUCCAAGAAUCUACAAAGAGAUAACAACCGUUAACGCUGCACGAAUAUGAGGCGGCUCCGACCGAUUAUCUACAAUUUGCACAAUCUUCAACUCGAUUCCCUUUUCGCAAACCUAUCGAAUUAGUAUCCAAACGCGGACGGAUUAUUCAGUCUCAACUCCGCGUCUUGCAACUAUCUGUAGCACCUCAUCACGACUGAGUCUAUUGGAUCAUAAACUGGAGUUGACUGAGUCUCACAUCAAAUACAUCAACCGAGUGUAAAACUCCACAACGCCUUCGACAUCAUCAGGAAUGUGC